UCCCAAAUUUACACUCUCUGGGCAUAAUAGAACAAUAUAAUUAGGUUUUACGCUUUGUUCGAUAGAAUGAGAAAAAGUACUCGUUGCAAAGUUAUACUGUUUGGGCGCAAUUGAGUAUUGUAAUGUGGUUCCGGUUUUAAUUCUUGUGAACGUUGACAUGAAAUCGUUCCAAAUUUACACUCUCGGGACAUAAUAGAAAAAUAUAAUUAGGUUUUACUCUUUGUUCGAUAGAAUUAGAAAAAGUACUCGUUGCAAAGUUAUACUAUUAGGGUGCAACUGGGUAGUCUAAUGUUGUUCCGGUUUUUCUUCUUGUGAACGUUGAUAUCGAUUCGUUCCAAAUUUACACUCUCUGGGCAUAAUAGAAUAAUAUAAUUAGGUUUUACGCUUUGUUCGAUAGAAUGAGAAAAAGUACUCAUUGCAAAGUUAUACUGUUAGGGCGCAACUGAGUAGUCUAAUGUUGUUCCGGUUUUUGUUCUUGUGAACGUUGACAUCGAUUAGUUCCAAAUUCACUCUCAGGGUAUAAUAGAACAAUAUAAUUAGGUUUUACUCUUUGUUCGAUUGAAUGACAAAAAGUACUCGUUGCAAAGUUAAACUGUUAGGACGCAACUGAGUAGUCUAAUGUUGUUCCGGUUUGGUUCUUGUGAACGUUAACAUCGAUUCGUUCCCAAUUUGCACUCUCGGGGCAUAAUAGAACAAUAUAAUUAGGUUUUACUCUUUGUUCGAUUGAAUGAGAAAAAAUACAGUUGCAAAGUUAUACUGUUAGGGCGCAACUGAGUAGUCUAAUGUCGUUGCAAAGUUAUACUGUUAGGGCGUAACUGAGUAGUCUAAUGUUGUUCCGGUUUUGGCUCUUGUGAACGUUGACAUCGAUUCGUUCCAAAUUUACACUAUCGGGGCAUAAUAGAGCAAUAUAAUUAGGUUUUACUCUUUGUUUGAUAGAAUGAGAAAAAGUACUGUUGCAAAGUUAUACUGUUAGGGCGCAACUAAGUAGUCUAAUGUUGUUCCGGUUUUGGUUCUUGUGAACGUCGACAUCGAUUCGUUCCAAAUUUAUACUCUCGGGGCAUAAUAAAAUGAUAUAAUUAGGUUUACUCUUUGUUCGAUAGAAUGAGAAAAAGUACUCGCUACAAAGUUAUACAGUUAGGGCGCAACCGAGUAGUUUAAUGUUGUUCCGAUUUUGGUUCUUGUGAACAGUGACAUCGAUUCGUUCCAAAUUUACACUCUCGGGACAUAAUAGAACAAUUUAAUUAGGUUUUACUCUUUGUUCGAUAGAAUGAGAAAAAGUACUCGUCGCAAAGUUAUACUGCUAGGGUGGAGCUGAGUAGUCUAAUGUUGUUCCUAUUUUGGUUCAUGUGAACGUUGACAUCGAUUCGUUCCAAAUUUACACUCUCGGUUCAUAAUAGAACAAUAUAAAUAUGUUUUUCUCUUUGUUCGAUAGAAUGAGAAAAAGUAAUCGUGGCAAAGUUAUACUGUUAGGGCGUAACUGAGUAUUCUAAUGUUUUUCCGGUUUUGGUUCUUGUGAACGUUGGUGUUAUGUCUCUAGCCGUGAAUAGAGACGGAUCUAAGUGAUACUAGUUUCUCGGCUCGUAGUGGUUGUGUCGGCGGCCGACGACGCGACGCUAAGAGUCCAGAACUGGAACACUUGUGAGCUUCCGCCCGAUUUCGUUGUCGAGUCGUUUAAUUUCGUGAACGUUGAGGAAGUUAUCGGAUUGAGAUAACUAAUCGAGUUGUUGCUUUUCAGGAGUAAAUGUCCCCAAGGCGUUACGUGCGUAGGUCUGCUCCGGUACCGCCUUCUGCGGAGCCCGAGCAGCCAAGAUCGGAGGAAGUGCAGGAGCUGCGGGAGCAGGUCGCUGCAAUGUUGGGCGCGAUGCAGCGCCAGGAGGCUCGGUUCGAGCAGCUCCAGGAUGUUGUGGAGCGGCAAGCGGCGGCGGCGGCGGCCGCGACGGCGACAGGGGAUCGUGAUCCGCCCGCACCUUCGGCACGCACGCCUGUAGCGGCCGAGGGUGAGGGCAUAGCGGCGGUUCCGAUGGCGGCAGUUCCCCGGCCGACAAGUGCGCCUCCGAUAGCUUCGGGUUCGGGGACGCUCGAUACGACAGCCGACAAAGUGGAGCGUGAACGUGCGCUGGCUGCUAAGAUGAAGUUCAUGAAGUUUAAGCCACCAACUUUUGAAGGGGGGAAAGUGGAGCCGUUGGUGGUGGAGUCUUGGGUAGACUCUAUGGAGACUCUCUUCGAGGACCUGUACAUCCCGGAGAAAGAUAAGGUGCCUUUCGCCACCCAUUGCCUCGAAAAGGCGGCGAAGGUAUGGUGGAAGCGGUUGAAGCGGGAUCGACCCUCUUACCUUCCACCAAUGCUUUGGGAGGAGUUUAAGAAGGAGAUGUUUGGAAAUUAUUUCCCCGACACCGAGAAGCGAAAGCUAAAGGAGAGGUUUUGCAAAUUGAGACAGGGGGAUCGUUCGGUGGCGGACUACGAACAAGAGUUCUCCCACAUUAUAGACUGCGUCCCGGACGUGGUUAAGGACGACUCGGAUCGAGCCGAGUGGUUCUUGCGAGGACUUCGGCCGUGGAUAUAUAGAGCGGUGCAAUUGUUCCAGCUCACGACUUUCGCCGAGGUUUUCAAUAAGGCGCUAUGGGCAGAGCAUGGAGAUGCCCAUGUGCGAGAGGAACGUGAGUUGUUGGCCAGAUCCCAAGAUAAGGGGAAGAAGCGAUCGGGCGGCGGUUCGGGGGGACAAUCGAGUUCGAGGAGGCCCCCGAAGUAUCCGCGGUCGCAGUCGUGGGGCCGUGGGCCGCAGCGGUGCCCUAUCUGUGGAGAUCGAGGCCAUCGGGCACCGCAGUGUAGACAACGACAAGGAAGGUGCUUUAAUUGUGGACAAGAAGGACACGUCAGCCGCGACUGUCUGGCAAGGGCCUCGUCUACUCCGUCAGUCGCAUCGACCCCAGCGCCCUCGCCUUAUCAAGGAGGGGCCCCGUAUGUUCCUGUAUCGGCGGGACGCGCACUAGCGCCGCGCAAGCCGGAGGUGACUCGAUCAACGCCGAGCGGACGGGUAUUCGCCGCUCAGGCCCAUGCCGGGGAGCCUGCCCAAGCCGAGGAGCCUGAUGUUGUGGCAGGUAUGGUUCUAAUCAAUGGAGUUCGCUCCAGAGCUAUGUUCGAUACGGGUGCCACGCAUUCAUUUAUUAGUAGGGCAUUUGCACGCAUGCACGACAUACCCAUAGAAGCAAGUGACAAGUGGCGAGUCGAGGGUCCUGAGUCGUCGUUUAAUACCUAUACGGAAUGCUCGUCAUGCCCAGUACAAGUAGGUGACUGGAUAAUGCCCAUCCGAAUGUUGGAACUCACUAAACUGGAGGCGUAUGACGUCAUUUUGGGCAUGGACUGGCUCUCAAGGUAUUACGCUACGAUCGAUUGUAAGAAUAAAUCGAUCACCUUUCGGGAGCCAGGACAGAAGGAGUUCGUUUAUCGAGCUUGUCGGAGUUCUUGCUUCGUCGCGCCGGUAUCAGCGACGAGAGCUAGGAAGUUGGUCAACGGCGGCUGCGUAGCAUUUUUGGCGACCGUCGUGGAGGUGGACCGGGUGGUGCCGAAACUAGAAGAUUUAUCGGUGGUGCGGAAAUUUCCGGAUGUAUUUCCCGCGGAGCUGGCAGGGAUGCCGCCGGAUCGGGAGAUCGAGUUCGUUAUAAACUUGAUUUUCGGGACGGCGCCGAUCCCAAAGGCCCCAUACCGCAUGGCGCCGGCAGAGUUAAGAGAACUGAGGGAUCAGUUACAAGAUCUUCUCGACAAAAGGUUUAUCAGGCCGAGCGUAUCACCGUGGGAGCGCCGAUAUUGUUCGUGCGCAAGAAGGAUGGCUCGUUUUGACUCUGCGUGGAUUAUCGCGAGUUGAAUAGGGUCACCAUAAAGAAUAAGUACCCGUUGCCCCGAAUCGACGACUUAUUUGAUCAAUUAUAGGGGUCACGAGUGUACGCGAAGAUAGACCUACAAUCCGGCUAUCAUCAGUUAAAGAUCAAGCCGGAGGAUAUUCAGAAGACCGCGUUUCGUACGCGUUAUGGACACUAUGAGUACACGGUUAUGCCUUUCGGGCUCACUAAUGCCCGGCUGCAUUCAUGGACCUGAUGAACCGUGUGUUCAAGUCGUGCUUGGACCGAUUUGUCAUGGUCUUCAUAGACGACAUCUUGGUCUAUUCGCGGAGCGACGAGGAGCACGCGGAACGUUUGCGGACGGUGCUUCAAAUCCUUCUAGAGGAGAAGCUAUUCGCAAAGCUAAAGAAGUGUGACUUCUGGCUUCGAGAGGUUGCCUUCUUAGGGCAUGUGAUUUCUGAGGGUGGUGUUUCGGUUGACCCGAGGAAAGUCGAAGCGGUCGAGAAUUGGCCACGCCCAACGAACGUCACGGAGGUCCAAAGCUUUAUAGGCUUAGCGGGCUAUUAUCGACGGUUUGUGGAGGGCUUUUCAAAAACUGUAACUCCACUUACCGGUUUGACUCAGAAGGGCGCCAAGUUUAUUUGGAGCGACGAGUGUGACCAAAGAUUCAACGAAUUGAAGAAAAGAUUGACGUCGGCUCCGAUACUCGCCUUACCGGUGCAGGGCGAGAACUUUGUGGUCUAUAGCGAUGCAUCCUAUCUAGGCUUGGGGUGUGUUCUGAUGCAAGGCGGGAGGGUGAUAGCUUAUGCAUCCCGUCAGCUGAAGGACCACGAGAAGAAUUACCCCAUCCAUGACUUGGAGUUGGCGGCGGUGAUCUUUGCACUGAAGUUGUGGAGGCACUACCUAUACGGUGCACACUGCGAGAUCUAUACCGACCACAAAAGUCUGAAAUAUCUAUUUACCCAGAAGGAGCUAAACAUGCGGCAAAGGCGGUGGCUAGAGCUAUUAAAGGAUUAUGAUGUCGAUAUUCUCUAUCACCCCGACAAAGCAAAUGUGGUUGCGGAUGCACUUAAUAGAAAGUCGGCGAAGAACCUCGCUUUUGAUGUUACCCGGCAAACACCCCUAGGGCUGGAGAUGGAGCGACUGGACCUCGAAGUGGUCGCUCCCGAGGUCCCGGCUCAGCUGAUGGCGCUCGUUAUUCAGCCGACCUUAUUGGAGAGGAUCAGAAACUUGCAACCUGCAGAUCCGAGUCUCCAAAAGGUGCGGCGCAACAUCGAGGAAGGACGAGAUGGCGAUUUCAGUGUGGACGCCGGUGGCGCGCUCCGGUUUCGAAACCGGUGGUGCGUGCCCGAGAAUGAAGAACUUCGCGAGCUGGUCUUGCAAGAAGCCCACCGGUCUCCAUAUGCGGAUCACCCGGGCGGCACCAAGAUGUAUCAUGAGUUGAGAGCACUCUAUUGGUGGCCGGGGAUGAAGGCUGAUAUUGGGCGCUUUGUGGCAAGGUGCUUGACUUGUCAGCAAGUAAAGGCGGAGCGCCGGUUUCCAGCGGGGAAGCUUCAAAGCCUACCUAUUCCCGUCUGGAAAUGGGAAGAUAUAUCUAUGGAUUUCAUCGUUGGCUUACCUCGCUCGACAGAGGGACACGACGCGAUCUGGGUGAUUGUGGACCGCUUGACAAAGUCAGCGCACUUUUUACCGAUCCACACCACCUGGGCGGGGGAUAAGUUGGCGCAGGUAUAUCUUGACGAAGUAGUGAGGUUACACGGGGUGCCAAAAUCGAUUGUGUCGGAUAGAGACCCCAAGUUCACUUCACAUUUCUGGAGAAGCCUACAGGAGGCCCUUGGCACACGGCUUAAUUUCAGUACUGCAUUUCAUCCCCAGACAGAUGGACAAACUAAAAGAACCAUUCAGACUCUGGAGGAUAUGUUGCGAGCAUGUGUCAUCGAUUACAAAGGGGGUUGGUGUAAGUAUUUGUCAAUGGCCGAGAUCGCCUACAACAACAGUUAUCAUGCUAGUGUGGAGACGGCACCGUUCGAGGCUCUUUAUGGGCGGAAGUGCCGCUCUCCCAUUUAUUGGAGUGACGUGGGCGAGCGCACGGAAUUUGGCCCCGAUGUGCUGCGGGAGGCGGAAGAAAAGGUCCGCCUUGCUCGCAAACGGUUACUCAGGGCGCAAUCUCGACAACAGAGCUAUGCGGAUAGGCGCCGACGAGAUUUGGAGUUUGCGGUGGGCGACCGCGUCUUCUUGAAGGUAUCUCCUAUGAGGGGCGUUAAGCGAUUUGGAGUUCGGGGCAAAUUGAGUCCCCGAUAUAUUGGCCCUUAUGAGAUCUUGGAGCGGAUUGGGACGGUGGCUUAUCGGCUCGCGUUGCCGCCGAAGCUAGCGGAUGUGCACAAUGUAUUCCACGUCUCCAAUCUACUCAAAUACAUUCCUGACCCCGAGCACGCGAUGUUAUACGAACCGCCGGAACUUCAGGAGGACCUGAGCUACGAGGAAUUCCCGGUGGCAAUUACCGCUCGUGAAGUGCGCAAGUUAAGGAAUCGGGAAAUUCCUUAUGUCCGAGUCCGGUGGAGCAAUCGUGAUGAUCGCGAAGCCACCUGGGAGCUCGAGGAGGAGAUGAAGGCGAAUCAUCCUCGCCUGUUCGAAGGUUGAAUCGAGGUAUGAGUUUAGAAUUUGAAAUUCUAAUUAAGUCUUGUAGUAUCGAGUUCGUUUCGAGGAUGAAACUCUUUUAAGGUGGGAAGGAUGUUAGGAAGUGAAUUCUCGAAACUCGAGGAUUAGACUUCGACUAGAAUCGACUAGUUGUCGAGUGCGUAGGCUUCGGAAAGUCCGAAGGUGAUUAUAAUGCAUAAAGUGCAUUAAAGAAGGGUUCGCGGGAGCACCAGUGCAAAAUCUGCACUAGGAGCAGAAUUGCUCACGGGGACCGGUCCCUGGCGGGGAGGGACCGGUUCCAUCAGGCUGGGCUGCAGAGGUCUCUGAUGAGACCGGUCCCUGGCAGGCAGGGACCGGUUCCCGAACGUCAGCCCAGCGAGAAUAGCCGAAAUUUGGCUAAGUCUCGAGAAUCCAACUUUCGGGAACCGGUCUCUCGGACAAGGACCGGUCUCCCGGGGACCGGUCUCUCAGGCAAGGACCGGUUUCCGAACGCGAAAACCCCUCUGCUCGAAAUGGCAGCCUUCGGGGACCGAUCUCCCCGAGCUGGGACCGGUCCCUCACUGCGAAAAUGCCCAGAGAGGUCUAGAUCAGAGGAUGAAAAGUUGAGGGGGCUAUCUGCAAAAUGGCCUUUAAUAGAGGUGGGGGACCCCUCUCUUUCCCUCAUUGCUCUCUAACUCUCUCACUCUUUCCCUCUCUCUCUCUAGAAAGAAAAGAAAGAGAAGAAGAAGAAGAAGAAGAAGAAGAAGAAGAAGAAGAGGAGGAAGGAAAAGAAGAGAAAAGAGAAGGAGAAGAUCAAGAAGAAGGAGAAGAUCAUCUUCUUCCCUCUCUCCUUCAAGCUAGAGUAAGCUUGGAGCCUUGGUUUGAAGGUAAGCUCUAGACCCUCUAAUGGUAUUUCUAGGGUUUAGGUUUUUGUUGUUUAGAAUUGGUUCAAAUGGAACCUAGAGAAGAUAAGUAGAUGGUUCGGGCUCGCAAUCGAAGCUCGCACCACGGAUUUCUCCCUCGUUGCCAUUCUAGGGCACGGAUUUGGGAUUUUGGUAAAUCUAGGGUUUUGAUCUAUCUUAAUAGGUCGUAAAACAAAUUGCUAGGUCUCGGAACGCAUCGGCGAAGACGGUUUGCCGAUCCGACGAGCGAGUGCGGAGUUAUCGCCGAAUCGGGUACUCGAGGGCUCGCUUCGCCCCGAGGAGUCGAAGCGGCAUGCAAAGACCGCAGCGUCAAGUUUUCUACCAUCGCGGCAUCGCCAAGAGGUGGGUGGUGUCCAUCCCGAAGCAAUCGGGCUCCCUUCUAUGUCUUAGUACAUGUCGACUCUUGCAUCUUGUAUUAUUGCAUUAUAGGAUGAUUGUACAUUGCCUUUCCUUAUGCUUUCCUUGAUGAUAUCGUAGCAUGUAUUUGAUAUUGGACAUAGUGGAUUGAUAAGGAUUGGGUCGAGACUUGUGAAUCCUAUAAUGCAGAGAAAAUGAUGGGCUCAAUGGUUGGUCUAAUGAUGAACAAAGAACGAGUGGCAUCUAGUCAAUAGUAAACCAUGAACGAGUGGCAUUUAGUUGAUAGUAAGCAAAAGAACGAAUGACACAUAUGAGUCGUAGUGUACGUGAAACCUAUGGACUAUAUGAUGAUUGUAACCCUAGAGGAUAGGGUAUUCUCGAGACGAGGAUUGGAUCAUGCUCACGGUCUGUUUUUAAAUUUUGUGAUGGAAGCCUCACACAAGUAGUGCGCUCCGGAUUUGGUCACAUGGGAUUGCCUAUUUUGGGUCCCAAGGGAAUGCCUAUUUUAGGCCCCGGCAGACGGUCUCGGUUCGUAGUGCGAGUUGACCCUCCCUACUUUCGAGAUGGCUAGUGAGCAGUAGGCUCCUUCAGGGAAGCCACGAGAUUAAGAAACAAGUAAAUGAGAUUGAUGAACGAGUAAAUAGCUUUACCUUUGGGCAUGAUAAUGGGUUAGUUGUUUAUCUAUUUCAUUGUACAUGCAUUCAUAUAUUUAUGAUUGGGCAUAGUAGCGUAGCUUUACUUCUGUCAUUUACCGCUUUCCUUAUCUAUCUAUCUAUCGAUUAUCUACUUUUGCCCGCUUGGACCUAGUGGGGAGAUCGGCGGAGUCGGCGGCCGAACCCACUGGGAACUAAGGAAGUUAGUUCUCACCCCACUCUUUACAGGUUCUAGUUCGGGCGUCCCCGGUGAGCGUGAGGAUCGUGGUAAGGGCAAGGCGCUCUAGUCGCAUUAGCUACCUCCCUUUUGCAUUAGCUGUCACCCUUUUUGUAUUUGAGAGUAGAUGUUGUAUAGGGUGAGGUUUGAGUGCUUGUACUUAUAUUUUUGGAAGAAUGUAAAAGACGUACUUAAAUGUAGUAAAUCAAAUGAAUGUAAUGGAUAGCCUCUUCUCUCUUAUGUACUUGUAUAUGUUUCUAUACUUGGUGGUGCUUCUUGAUCGUGUAUUUAUGAAUUGAUUCCUGGGUAAAUUCUUAUACAUGAUCUGUUGGUUAGCCUUGGACGGACAGGGGAGGUCCUGUCCGUUUGGCGUCUAUUCGACGCGCCCGGGGCCGGACCAAAUUGGUAGCGGUCUCGGGGAGUGACAGAGUCCCAAAUUUACACUCUCUGGGCAUAAUAGAACAAUAUAAUUAGGUUUUACUCAUUGUUCGAUAGAAUGAGAAAAAGUACUCGUUGCAAAUUUAUACUGUUUGGGCGCAACUGAGUAUUGUAAUGUUGUUUCGGUUUUAAUUCUUGUGAACGUUGACAUGAAAUCGUUCCAAAUUUACACUCUCGGGACAUAAUAGAAAAAUAUAAUUAGGUUUUACUCUUUGUUCGAUAGAAUUAGAAAAAGUACUCGUUGCAAAGUUAUACUAUAAAGGUGCAACUGGGUAGUCUAAUGUUGUUCCGGUUUUUCUUCUUGUGAACGUUGACAUCGAUUCGUUCCAAAUUUACACUCUCUGGGCAUAAUAGAACAAUAUAAUUAGGUUUUACGCUUUGUUCGAUAGAAUGAGAAAAAGUACUCAUUGCAAAGUUAUACUGUUAGGGCGCAACUGAGUAGUCUAAUGUUGUUCCGGUUUUUGUUCUUGUGAACGUUGACAUCGAUUAGUUCCAAAUUCACAAUCUCAGGGCAUAAUAGAACAAUAUAAUUAGGUUUUACUCUUUGUUCGAUUGAAUGACAAAAAGUACUCGUUGCAAUGUUAAAUUGUUAGGACGCAACUGAGUAGUCUAAUGUUGUUCUGGUUUGGUUCUUGUGAACGUUAACAUCGAUUCGUUCCAAAUUUACACUCUCGGGGCAUAAUAGAACAAUAUAAUUAGGUUUUACUCUUUGUUCGAUUGAAUGAGAAAAAGUACUCGUUGCAAAGUUAUACUGUUAGGGCGCAACUGAGUAGUCUAAUGUUGUUCUGGUUUUGGUUCUUGUGAACGUUGACAUCGAUUCAAUCCAAAUUAACACUCUUGGGGUAUAAUAGAACAAUAUAAUUAGGUUUUACUCCUUGUUCGAUUUAAUGAGAAAAAGUACUCGUCGCAAAGUUAUACUGUUAGUGCGCAACUGAGUAGUCUAAUGUUGUUCCGGU
Molecule: long non-coding RNA, 9996 nt
Filed under: Ananas comosus (pineapple)
Lineage: Eukaryota; Viridiplantae; Streptophyta; Magnoliopsida; Poales; Bromeliaceae
Description: long non-coding RNA (ACOM_LNC034252)
Source: RNAcentral